RNAcentral lists this ribosomal RNA (416 nucleotides) under uncultured bacterium. Its description in RNAcentral is "bacterial SSU rRNA". It matches the Rfam family "Bacterial small subunit ribosomal RNA", at positions 17 to 420 of the family's 1533-position model. The record is from RNAcentral.
UCCUGGCUCAGAACGAACGUUAGCGGCGCGCCUAACACAUGCAAGUCGAGCGAGAAGGAAGCAAUUCCUGUAAAGCGGCGCACGGGUGAGUAACACGUAGGUAAUCUACCUCGAAGUGGUGGAUAACCUUCCGAAAGGAGGGCUAAUACAGCAUGAGACCACGGUUUCGAAAGAGAUUGAGGUCAAAGCGGGCCACUAUACAUAAGCUCGCGCUUCGAGAUGAGCCUGCGGCCCAUCAUGGUAGUUGGUAGGGUAAUGGCCUACCAAGCCGAAGACGGGUAGCUGGUCUGAGAGGAUGAUCAGCCACACUGGAACUGAGACACGGUCCAGACUCCUACGGGAGGCAGCAGUGGGGAAUCUUGCGCAAUGGGCGAAAGCCUGACGCAGCGACGCCGCGUGAGUGAUGAAGGCCUCGG